CCCACCCAAAAUGAGAUGCGCUUCCGAAGGCCGGGCCCUUAGAGCCUCUGGGGCCGAGAAACAAGGCUUAGCCAUCCUUGGACCAACCUGAGGGGAGAAGAGGGGAGGGUCUGGCCCAGACCUGAAGGCCCGCCCGGUUACCUGAGGCGACGGGCGGGGCCCGCAUCGCUGGGGUGGGCGCCGCCGCCGGCCGCACUCGGCCUUCCGCCUCACGCCACCCGCGCCAUAGGACCGGCGCUUUCGCUGCCCUGGCCGGCUGUCCUCAGGCGGUCGUUCUGUCCACCCGUCAGCGACUCUCCCACGGCGCCCGGGGACGACGAAGGCCAGUCGGGCCGGCCGGCUGGGAUCUGCUCAGGCAACUUCCGACUGCCAGGGGCGGCAGCGUCAAAUAGCUCCCCGAGCCGACUGGGCCACUGCGCGUGCGCAGCGCGCCUGAUCAGAGACUUGUGCGGGUCCCAGACGGCGGCGUCAAAUAAUUCCCAAGACACGGAGCCGGAAGCUGCGCGUGCGCAGCUAUCCCAGAUCGCCGCGCGCGGGACAUAGUCCCUCCUUCUUUUCCGGAUCUAGAAGAGCAGGAGUGGAGUGAUGGAUACUCCUGUCUCAUCGAAAUACAGGCGUGGAGGCGGUCCACCUGCGUCCGUACGAAUCAGUCGGAACUCUGCCUGUUUUUGAUGCGAACGAAUUGAGCAGAACUUGCUUGGUGUAGAUAAUGGUUGAGAAGACCCACUUCUAUUUCUCCUGAACCUAACACAAUACUGGCACAGCGUUGGUGGUCAGUGAACAUUAAUUGGAUGGAUAGGGUUCUCCAGGCUAAAGUCCUGGUGGAGUGCUCAAGACCAGAACACUGGGAGAAACCCUCUGAACUCCUGGCCACACUCCUGUCCACAGUGCAGACCACGCAGGGACAUCAUGCACCUUGCGGGAGGCAAAGCCCCAGAUCUCCAGGGAACAGGACUCACCUGAGCCAGCUGUCUCUUGACAGGACGGGACACCUCGCAGGGACCCCUGUGCACCGUGCUGCUUCCUCUGCAACGGUCAAGAAGCCCUGGAUGAGCAGCCUGGUUCCACCUGGUCACCAUGUUCUGGAACCCAGAGUACCUGGGUUCUCAGAGAAGCUGGCUGCUUCACAAACGUGGGCUGUGUUCCCAACCCACGAGCCACACCUUUUAUUCCCAGGACGGAAGUCGACUACUCCACACAGGACAACAGCUCAUCUGCGUCUGAGACAGAGACGGCUUUUCAGAUCAUCUUUUGUGCAAACUCAGAUGACUGAGGACCCACCUCUGAGGACCCACCAUUAG
Molecule: long non-coding RNA, 1301 nt
Filed under: Capra hircus (goat)
Lineage: Eukaryota; Metazoa; Chordata; Mammalia; Artiodactyla; Bovidae
Description: lncRNA (ENSCHIG00000002222.1)
Source: RNAcentral